RNAcentral lists this long non-coding RNA (249 nucleotides) under Junco hyemalis (dark-eyed junco). Its description in RNAcentral is "lncRNA (ENSJHYG00000018266.1)". The record is from RNAcentral. Lineage: Eukaryota; Metazoa; Chordata; Aves; Passeriformes; Passerellidae.
AGCAAGUGUGAAUCAAACCAUUCUGAAACAGAACUGCUGAGAAAACAACUGGGAAAUGAAAAAGCAUCUAUGAAAAACCUGGAAUCUUCUCUUGUGUCCAAUUGUGAGAAGGAAUUUCAGUCACAGAGAGCAAACCAAGAGAAAGCCUCUGAAAUUCAGGUUCACAAGGAACAGCUUGCUUUAGUAGAAAAUAAUCUGAACAGGUGGCUUUUAAAAUCCUCUAAAAAUAGAGGAUUGAAUAAUGAAUAA